Molecule: long non-coding RNA, 2394 nt
Filed under: Physcomitrium patens
Lineage: Eukaryota; Viridiplantae; Streptophyta; Bryopsida; Funariales; Funariaceae
Description: long non-coding RNA (PPAT_LNC012574)
Rfam family: MIR159 microRNA precursor family (bases 300-481)
Source: RNAcentral
UCACGCUCGUCAGAUGUUGGCCUGGAGAUACGUAGCAGUGCGGCAUGCUGAGGUUUGACCGCAGACGGCAAGGCCUCUGUUGCAAGCGGAACUGUCAAGUUGCAUAGGCUGGUUCAUGUUUUUCUCCAGAGCUUUUCUCGAGUCAAGCAGUGAGCGAUCGAUUGUGACAAACUAGAAGGUAAGACUAGCAUGCUUCGCGGUACGAGGUGACGAGACGCUAGCUGUUCGUCUAUAAUAAGUAGCACCCGUCACCGCCAGGUAUAAGUAUUUAUCGUCUUAAUGAAAUUCCUGUUACUAACUUCGUCAGCGUGGAGCUUUCUUCGGUCCAAUAGUGGCUGAGUCGAAGGUUGUGCUGCUGCCGACUCAAACUUCCGGCUUCCCUAUCCAACCCCUGGUAUGGAAUCCGAAUGUCUGAUACGGGAGCUGUUCAAUCUCCGGCUUAGCAUCUCUUGGACUGAAGGGAGCUCCCCGCUGUAUAAGCUUGAUUCGGUAUGUAGAGCGUACCAAGGUUCUUGAUCUACAAUCGUCUGUCUUGAUUUCAUCCUUGAUAUGGAUAAAAACAUGAUGAACCCUGGAUAAAAGGGGAUAACUGGAUCCCCUGCAGAACUAUGGAGUCCCAACACACAAUCAAGGUGCUGGUCGUUUGUUUUCGCAUUUUACGCAAGAAAUUUGAAAAUGGGUUGCCUAGAGCAGCUGGUUCCGUAUGUCGUCAGUCACAUCCUCAUCCAUGGCAGCUUCUGAGUGGUUGCAGUUAGUGUACAUGCACAAUCUAUUUGAGCAGUUUUCGUACUCCAGCACUUGAUGCCAUUUUCCAACGGUUCUGCACACUCCCUUGGGAUCUGAUACUUGGGCGUCCAAAGGUUUGGACUUGUUAAAAUGUCCAUCGGAGGAUCUCAGUUUUGUUUCUUCAGAGCGCGUCUAGGAAGUUGAAUACAAAGAGGCUUCAGAACUUCUGGUGUCGAUUUCAGGGGCUUCACAGAACUAGUUUGUUUCGUAAUUGCGUAUUUCCACUAGUUUUGCACAAUGCUAGAGUCUACUAUCUUCAUCUACUCGGCUUACUAUGUGUGUCGAAGAGAGAACCGCUGGUUCCAGCUUCAAUCAGGUAGAGUUUUACUUUAGUGUCUGAGAUUACGUCGGGAUAUGAAAAACCUGUGAUAGACCACGUAACAAUAUAUCGUGAUGUGUCAUUUGUGAGGAGGAAAUCUUGUGACUUCACAGCUCCUAUAUAACAGACCUCUCUGCUAAGAAUCCUUCUGGAGAAGAGUGUACAAUGAUACUCUAAAAGCAACCGUUCCAUCUACAUUGUGUUUAUAAUCAGUUUGUGGCAGCAGUAACAGUCCUGCUGGAGGAGCAGAACCCAGCAGUCUCAGUAACAGUUUCUAUAUCUGUCUUAUCUGGAGGGUUUGGAUGGUGGUACUCUCGAAAUGUUUCAGGCUAUUCACCUACGUGUUACUCUUCGGAUGGCUUUGUACUAAUAAAAGCUCUGAAACCCGUUCACUUCCUCUUUGCUGUUGCAUUUUUUAAUCCAAGUGCGCGACUUUCUGCAGCUGAAGUUACGGAUUAAGCAUUCGUGGUCCAUUCUUUGAUGAGCCUCUAGAUCCACCAUUGCCGAUGGAAUUUGAAUUUUUGUUUUCCACCCGAACUCAAAUUAUGUAGUUCAAGUACUUCCUAGUCCUCGUCACGCAUGGUAAUGCAUGCUGGGAUAAUAGCGCAUGCGGCCAGAUUGAAGAUCGUACACAUGACUGCUGUCGCUUGUAGGGUAGUAUACACAUAUCUCGUGGCAGAAUUGCCUGUUUGUCAGCUGCCACCACAGCAAUAUCAUCUGAAAAUAUAUUCGCAACUUGAGAUUUCUCCUACAAUUAUUUUCAUCAGUUCACACGUGGGACCGUAAAAAUAAGUGCAGUAUUUGAGAUAUGGAUUGCCGGCCAAUUGUUGAUUGAUGGCAUGUCUAGUACCUGGUUGUAUUUUCUCGUAAGUGGUUUCUAAUAGGAGACAUGUGUACAAGUCUAAGGCUUGCACUCUAACUGUGAUACACAUAGUGAAUUACAUGAAGAAUUAUAUUUGUUACCUAACUAUAAUCCCUUCCAGUCCCACUUGUCCAGUGCUGAAAAAAACGAAUUAGAUGUUCUAUGUGCAUGAGAUCGGAUUGUCUGUCAUCACCCCCACUAAAUAUGACCUCAGCGACUGCUGAACAUGUCGUGAAACAAGGUCGUCUUUUCGCUGCACCGAAUAGCAGCAGCCAGAUCGCCAAACACUCUACAAUAAUCGAAUAUUGCUUAAUGUGUGAUUCGUUGUCUGUCACCCUAUAAUUCAUAGCAUUGCAGCAACCACCACAGCCUAGAUUCUACUCACAAUCAACACACUACCUGAGUCUAGGACUUUACAACAGAGAUA